GCGCACCAGGCGCGAAACUUCACAAUGUGCGAAAGCACGAUGAGGGAAUCCCAAGUGCUUGCUCGUAAGAGUAAGCUGUUUCUCUGUCUAAAACGCAGAGAGAGUAAGGGCUGGGUAAGACGGGUGCCAGCCGCCGCGGUAAUACCUGCAGCUCGAGUGGUGGCCGCUAUUAUUGGGCCUAAAACGUCCGUAGCCGGUUUAUUAAAUGCCUGGGUAAAUCGGACCGCUUAACGGUUCGAAUUCCGGGUAGACUGAUAAACUUGAGACCGGGAGAAGCUAGAGGUACUCCUGGGGUAGAGGUGAAAUUCUGUAAUCCUAGGGGGACCACCAGUGGCGAAGGCGUCUAGCUAGAACGGGUCUGACGGUGAGGGACGAAGCCCUGGGGCGCAAACGGGGAUUAGAUACCCGUGUAGU
RNAcentral lists this ribosomal RNA (414 nucleotides) under uncultured microorganism. RNAcentral describes it as "bacterial SSU rRNA". It matches the Rfam family "Archaeal small subunit ribosomal RNA", at positions 330 to 745 of the family's 1478-position model. The record is from RNAcentral.